RNAcentral lists this ribosomal RNA (484 nucleotides) under uncultured bacterium. Its description in RNAcentral is "partial 16S ribosomal RNA". It matches the Rfam family "Bacterial small subunit ribosomal RNA", at positions 30 to 507 of the family's 1533-position model. The record is from RNAcentral.
AUUGAACGCUGGCGGCAGGCCUAACACAUGCAAGUCGAGCGGAUGAAGGGAGCUUGCUCCUGGAUUCAGCGUCGGACGGGUGAGUAAUGCCUAGGAAUCUGCCUGGUAGUGGGGGAUAACGUCCGGAAACGGGCGCUAAUACCGCAUACGUCCUGAGGGAGAAAGUGGGGGAUCUUCGGACCUUACGCUAUCAGAUGAGCCUAGGUCGGAUUAGCUAGUUGGUUGGGUAAAGGCCUACCAAGGCGACGAUCCGUAACUGGUCUGAGAGGAUGAUCAGUCACACUGGAACAGAGACACGGUCCAGACUCCUACGGGAGGCAGCAGUGGGGAAUAUUGGACAAUGGGAGACAGCCUGAUACAGCCGUGCCGCGUGUGAGAAGAAGGUCUUAGGAUUGUAAAGCACUUUAAGUUGGGAGGAAGGGCAGUAAGUUAAUACCUUGCUGUUUUGACGUUACCAACAGAAUAAGCACCGGCUAACUUCGUG